GAUGAAGAACGCAGCGAAAUGCGAUAAGUAAUGUGGAUUGCAGAAUUCAGUGAAUCAUCGAAUCUUUGAACGCACAUUGCGCCCGUCAGUAUUCUGGCGGGCAUGCCUGUUCGAGCGUCAUUACGCCCCUCAAGUCCCCUGUGGACUUGGUGUUGGGGAUCGGCGAGGCUGGUUUUCCAGCACAGCCGUCCCUUAAAUUAAUUGGCGGUCUCGCCGUGGCCCUCCUCUGCGCAGUAGUAAAACACUCGCAACAGGAGCCCGGCGCGGUCCACUGCCGUAAAACCCCCCAACUUUUUAUAGUUGACCUCGAAUCAGGUAGGACUACCCGCUGAACUUAAGCAUAUCAAUAAGCGGAGGA
RNAcentral lists this unclassified non-coding RNA (358 nucleotides) under soil metagenome. RNAcentral describes it as "partial contains 5.8S ribosomal RNA, internal transcribed spacer 2, and large subunit ribosomal RNA". The stretch from base 1 to 120 matches the Rfam family "5.8S ribosomal RNA", at positions 35 to 154 of the family's 154-position model. The record is from RNAcentral.